This 586-nucleotide ribosomal RNA is filed under the name uncultured bacterium. Its description in RNAcentral is "bacterial SSU rRNA". It matches the Rfam family "Bacterial small subunit ribosomal RNA", at positions 220 to 795 of the family's 1533-position model. The record is from RNAcentral.
CCAGGAAGGUCUCAUGGCCCUAUCCAACCUAAUUUGGUAAAGGUAACGGCCUUUACCAAGGCUUAAGACGGGGUUAACCUGGUCUGAAGAAGGAUGAAUCCAACCCACCACUUGGGGACCUUGAGACCGGCCCAGACUCCCUACCGGGAGCACAAUAGGGGAAUCUUGCCGCAAAUGGGCGAAAGCCUGACGCAGCCACGCCCACGUGUGGGUACGACGGCCUUCGGGUUGUAAACCACUUUUCAGCAGGGAAGAAAAUGACGGUACCUGCAGAAGAAGCCCCGGCCAACUACGUGCCAGCAGCCGCGGUAACACGUAGGGGGCGAGCGUUGUCCGGAAUUAUUGGGCGUAAAGGGCUCGUAGGCGGUUUAGUAAGUCAGAUGUGAAAACUCAGGGCUCAACCCGGAGACGCCAUCUGAAACUACUAUGACUAGAGUUUGGUAGAGGAGUGCAGAAUUCCCGGUGUAGCGGUGAAAUGCGCAGAUAUCGGGAGGAAUUCCAGUCAGCGAAGGCGGCACUCUGGGCCAUAACUGACGCUGAGGAGCGAAAGCGUGGGGAGCAAACAGGAUUAGAUACCCUGGUAGUC